RNAcentral lists this ribosomal RNA (443 nucleotides) under uncultured bacterium. RNAcentral's name for it is "partial 16S ribosomal RNA". It matches the Rfam family "Bacterial small subunit ribosomal RNA", at positions 338 to 795 of the family's 1533-position model. The record is from RNAcentral.
CCUACGGGUGGCAGCAGUGGGGAAUAUUGGACAAUGGGGGGAACCCUGAUCCAGCGACGCCGCGUGAGUGAAGAAGUAUUUCGGUAUGUAAAGCUCUAUCAGCAGGGAAGAAAGUAAUGACGGUACCUGACUAAGCAGCCCCGGCUAACUACGGGCCAGCAGCCGCGGUAAUACGUAGGGGGCAAGCGUUAUCCGGAUUUACUGGGUGUAAAGGGAGCGUCGACGGCGAUGCAAGUCUGAAGUGAAAGGCGGGGGCUCAACCCCCGGACUGCUUUGGAAACUGUAUGGCUAGAGUGCAGGAGAGGUAAGUGGAAUUCCUAGUGUAGCGGUGAAAUGCGUAGAUAUUAGGAGGAACACCAGUGGCGAAGGCGGCUUACUGGACUGUAACUGACGUUGAGGCUCGAAAGCGUGGGGAGCAAACAGGAUUAGAUACCCUGGUAGUC